UGCCAGCAGCCGUGGUAAUACGUAGGGGGCUAGCGUUGUCCGGAUUCAUUGGGCGUAAAGAGCGUGUAGGCGGUUCGAUAGGUCCGGUGUGAAAACUCGAGGCUCAACCUCGAGAGGUCGCCGGAAACCCUCGAACUAGAGUCCGGAAGAGGAGAGUGGAAUUCCUGGUGUAGCGGUGAAAUGCGCAGAUAUCAGGAAGAACACCCAUGGCGAAGGCAGCUCUCUGGGACGGUACUGACGCUGAGACGCGAAAGCGUGGGGAGCGAACAGGAUUAGAUA
This 279-nucleotide ribosomal RNA is filed under the name uncultured bacterium. Its description in RNAcentral is "partial 16S ribosomal RNA". It matches the Rfam family "Bacterial small subunit ribosomal RNA", at positions 506 to 784 of the family's 1533-position model. The record is from RNAcentral.